CGGGACGUAGCUUAGCCUGGUAGAGCGCUUGCUUCGGGAGCAAGAGGUCGAGAGUUCGAAUCUCUCCGUCCCGA
Lacunisphaera limnophila is the source of this 74-nucleotide transfer RNA. It matches the Rfam family "tRNA". From Rfam's summary of the family: Transfer RNA (tRNA) molecules are approximately 80 nucleotides in length. Their secondary structure includes four short double-helical elements and three loops (D, anti-codon, and T loops). The record is from Rfam. Lineage: Bacteria; Pseudomonadati; Verrucomicrobiota; Opitutia; Opitutales; Opitutaceae.